This 3716-nucleotide long non-coding RNA is filed under the name Sus scrofa (pig). Its description in RNAcentral is "lncRNA (ENSSSCG00045031014.1)". The record is from RNAcentral. Lineage: Eukaryota; Metazoa; Chordata; Mammalia; Artiodactyla; Suidae.
CCGGGCCCACAACACCCCCACACCAGCCUUACCAAGGUGGUUUCACAGUCCUGCCCCCAGAUCACAGCCUCCCGCACGGACGUCAGCAGGAGGCUGGGGUGUAGCAGGGUGGCGGCCAUGUGUGUUGUGCGCCGCAGAUGCGUGAUCUUGCUCUUUGGACUCAAAGAGGGUUCCAGAUGUAGGCUCAUGCAUCUUUGUUUCCACACUGGCUCUGGAGUUGAACUCUGUCCACAGCGGGAGCUCGUGACCUCCUGGGGAAUGAGCGGAAUGUGAGUCCCCGCAGGAACGUAUGUCCUCCUGCCUUUCCAGCCUCUCCGAGAACAGGCCAGCCACACAGAUGAGACCCUCAGGGAAGAGCCAAGCGCGUCUGACCCAGAUUAACUUUGCUUACCUGGGCCUGUCCCAGGGAACAGUAGCAGUAACACCUGAGCAGGCCUUAUGUCUGUAACCCCGGGGGUACAAGUGAGUUCUCUGUCCCCAGGGGCAUGCUAAUUAAAAUCUGAGAACCUGAAAAAGAGCUUUUGUUUAAACCUGGCCCCACCCUGCCCUUUGCUUUCGUGGCCAUUAAAGCUUCUUAUUUCCUCCACUGAGCCUUGAAUGAAUGUCUAGCCCGAACCCCAAGGAUGAGCCCAGCUCUCAUGGAAACACAUGCACACGGGGCCCCAUGCUUGAGCCCCAACACACAGGGGCUCCCUCUGAGUCACUCCAUCACGACUAGCAGCCUUUCUCAAGAGACGAACCCUUAACUGGUCCCAGCUUCCACGGGCCCAAAGUGUCUAAUGAAAACCAGAGCUCCCCGGAGCAUUCCUGAAGCUGACCCCGUUCCAGAGCUGUGUGGCUCUAGGCCUUGGGCUGCAAAGUGAGCUCAGUUCAAAACAAACCUGGGGCCCAUUAUCUCCUUGGCCUGCUGUGUCUCCCGUGGCUGUCUCGUCCGUCCUCUGCCGGGCCUCCGCCCAGUGUUCGGGGCCCUGGAGAAUCUGAUGAGAUGGCAUUCAGGCAGCAUGAUGUAGAGGGCAUGCUGGGUGCUGUUGCCCGGGCAGCUGAGGGUUCGUAGGUGAAAACCGCCAGCGAGAGGCGGCAGGAAGCAGCAUGCUGUUGGUCUGUCAGGCCCUUGAGAAAAGAGCGUUGCAUUAUUGUCACUAUUAAUAAUGGCCCCUUAUUUGAGCCUUGCUAGAACAAUGCUCCAAACAAAGCCGAGAGGAAGAAACAGUCCCUGUUGUGGGAACUUGUAAUCUAUCAAGGCUGGUGGGGGACAAAAGUCCAAUGGGGAGGUGGUGGGGGCGGGUCCCGUAGAUGCUAUAGUUGUUGAGGGUGUAACUGGAAGAUGCCCACAGUCUCACUAGGCAUCCGCAUUCGCUUUGUUGCAGAAAUGUCUCCAGCCCCUCCUUUGUCUUUAUUUCUACCAGAUCUGAGCCCCUCCCAGGCUCUGAAAAGAGAGAGGAUAAAGUUGGGCUGACCCAGGUCUAAAUCUUACUUCUGACACAGCAGGUUCCUUUCUUUCUUUCAUUUUAAAAAAAGUUUCUUUUUAGUUUUUAUUUUUUUAAUUUAUUAUUAUUAUUUGAGGUGCAGCGCAUGGAAGUUCCCAGGCUAGGGGUUGAACUGGAGCUCCAGCUGCCUGCCUACGCUACAGCCACAGCAACACCAGAUCCAAGCCACAUCUGCAACCUAUGCCACAGCUCACUCAAUGCUGGGUCCUUAACCCACUGAGCAGAGUCAGGGAUCAAACCCGAAGCCUUGUGGAUCACGAGUUGGGUUCAUUUCUGCUGAGCCACAGCAGGAAUUCUGAGGUCCCUUUCUUUCUGAGUCUGAUUCCUCACCUGUGGGUGAGCCCCCAGAUCAGAGAUCAUGGGGGCAUCAGCCCCUCGAGUUGCUCAGGGAAUAACAGCUGCCCAAACCAGAAAACUUGCUAGAAGGCCCUUAUACGUAUCACUUAGAGGAAAGUCCCAGAUGCAACGCUGGGCUGUAACUAUUGCCACCAUUUAUUGAGAGACGACUGUGUGCCAGGCACCAGGCCUGCUGCGUUUCUGGACCUGAUUUACUUCUCGGGAAGAGAGCGGUUGCCAGAACAACGGCCAUCACGCUGUUCAGAUGAGGCUGUGGGGCCGUGUUGUUUUCUUGUUGGGUGCCGGGACUGCCGUACCAGGGGUGUGGUGGCAUUUCAGGGCUGGACAGGCUCUGUGCAAACCCAGCAGCCCGUCCUGCCAAGUCGGAAGUCCCGCUGUCCUCCAGAGACGCUGGCAGCCCGUCGCUGCAGCUGUGUGGCAACAAGUCUGACUUAAUUUGGGGGGCAGACUGUGCGGUGUUUGUUAAAAACCAGAAGACUGUGGCUUAUUCAUCCAUCUGUGAAAAUGGCUGUGCCUUGGGUGGGAGAAGCCGGAGGAGAAUGGGUGAUAGCAUUUUAAAAGACUGAAAAUGCUGAUAAGUAUAAAUGUAUCGUGAUGGCCAUGCUGCGUAAGGUCCACGUGGAUAACUCAUUACAGCCAAGCAGGCACCAGAUUUCCUUGCGGCCUCUUCUCUUCCGGGGUUUCUAAUUCAAUUCCGACCUCUCUAUUAAUCUGGGAGAUGGGAAUCUAAUCAUUGUCAGGAAUCGUCCUCCUUCAUAAUCCUUUUAUCACCACCUUGAUUUCUCAGAAAUAAGUCAGGCCAGAGCAAAAAAAGGACAUUUUCCACAUGAUUCAAUUGGUAUAAACCCAAAACUGUUAGAGGGAGGAGGAUUUUUGUAGGUUAAAUCCCCUUCCACACACGUGGGGAAAACAGGCUUCUCAUUGGAAUCCUAUGGUAAAUAGUUUUGUAAAGCAAAGACGCAUAUGUAUAUUCAUCGUGUAGGUUGCAGAGGCAGCUCAGAUCUGCUGUGGCUGUGGCUGUGGCGUAGGCCAGCGGCUACAGCUCCGAUUAGACCCCUAGCCUGGGAAUCAACAUAUGCCGCGGGAGCGGCCCUAGAAAAGGCAAAAAGACAAAAGAAAAAAAAUUUUUUAAACCUUAUCAGUGCACGUUUAUCCUUGGAAGGAUACAGGCAUGUUUUUGGACAGAGGUCUGAGGAGAACCUUGACCUGGAAAUCCUGCCUGCUCAAGGCCCCGGAACCUCAGCGCACACUGAUGUGUCCUCUUCUGAGACCCCUUAUUGGAUUACGCUGCCAUCAGCGGUGGUGACCUCGUGCAUGUAUUAUUCAGGAAGUACUCCGCCCUGCGAGGGCAGGUGCUUUAUUAUCGACUGGGAUCAGUUGGGUGAUUGAAUUCAGAAGAUCCUCGUUUUGUAUUCAGCUUGCUUCUCCUGGUUCCACUUGUCCUCCUCCUUGGUCCUCGGGGCCUCUCGGGAAGCCUCAAAGACUUUCUACAACCACAUGUAGAAACAACCAGUUGUGCCCUCUUCUUCCCCCUCCACGCACACACACGUUACAGCCUCCUCACGAAGAGCAGGUGCUUCUGCAGCGCUGUCUUGGUGCUGAGCGCUGUGCAUACCCUUAACUCAGAACAGCCCCGAGAGGCAGGUGUUGCUUCUUUGCAUUUUCCAGGUGAUGCUGCAGCACUGAGAGGUUCAGUGACUUGCCCAGAGCAACCCAAGUUCAUCCUUAGUCUUCUGCUGGGUCGCUACCUCCACCUCUGUGAACCCUUGACACGUGUGUUUCUCUCCUACAAAACAGAUGUGAGCAUACCUCCCUUUGCUUCUCUCUCAGUGUGAGGAUGAAAUGAAGGGAAAAAAAAAAAAAAAAAAAAAA